Long non-coding RNA from Gallus gallus (chicken), 1861 nucleotides. Lineage: Eukaryota; Metazoa; Chordata; Aves; Galliformes; Phasianidae. The record is from Ensembl.
UCCUUUCCUCACAUGCGUGGCGGCCAUUGGUGAGGGCCUGGCGCUCUUCGCAAUGAGGCAAGCAGGGCCUUCCUCAGCUCAAGUGCUGCUCAGGAUGGCUCCAGACUGGCACUGGAGAUGUCCCAAGCGGUGCUUUUUGUUCAGAAGGCUGUUAAAUGGACAGAUAUCAGUUAAGAUUUGCCCAGCUUGUCAUUCCGUGCAGUAGAGGUUCUGUCAUGUGAUAUUACUCCACACAAGAGGAAAGCCAGAGCAGCUUUACGCCACUGGAAAAUGCUGAGCUUUGGCAGGGGGAGCUUGGAGUCAGGAGGUGUCUGAGCACAGGGCAGUCCCGUCACUGGAGCUUCAUCCAUGCUCCUGCUUCUGCAGCAGUGCUGUUGCUAUGUGACAGUCUCUCAGUGCACCUGCUUCACCCCAGAGAUGGCUGCCUUUUGUGGUGUCAGCGGGGAUGCUGCAUAUACAGUUUGAGGACUUUAUAGACACAUCCUAUGUUCUGCAGGCUAACACGUAAAACUUCCUUCUUAAGUUGUUUAGUUGUAUAUAAUAGCUAUUUGUCUGGAGAAAUCUGAGCCUGGAAUAAGAGUUACUCAAAAUUUUAAAUCAAAAUUAUGUUAGAUUGCAACAUCCUAACUCUUGAGUUGUUGGGCUUAAGAGAAAGUAAACUUUCUGAGAUCUCAUCCAAUGUUAGUGUCAUUUUAAUGGGAAGGAAGGUGAUCCAGUGCUUCCCUCCAGAUUCUUAUUCAACUCUUUCCCCUGCAAUCUCCAUGGAUGUAAGCUUGAGCAUGUUACAGAGGGAGUUGUGUGUCCAUAGCAGGGAUGGAGCUGGCUACAGUGCAAUUCCUUGCCAUCUUGUCCCCUUUCAAUAAGCCCGGUUGAGAGUCUGAGUUCAGUAGUAGCCCAUUGUGAGCACAGACCACACCAUGUCUGUGACCAUGAGCUGUCAGAGCUGCGUGUCACAGCACUGUGCAAAGGACAAGCUCAGGUCCAUGCUAGCCUGGGAAGGUCAGCACUUGCACUGCUUCAUACAAUCAGUCCCUUCCUCUGCUUUGAUCUUCCUUCUGUAAAAAGAUCCAUUUCCCUUCUUCCAUGAGCACUUCUGCAGAUAAAGCACUGAUGAGUAUGAUGCAGGUGGCCACUGCAGGACUGGAGAACUGUUUAUGUAUCAAAGAGAUUUUGAUAUAGAUUAUUGCUAGUUGAAACUUAUUCUACAGAGCCAAGAAUGCUGUUAGGUCUUCCUUAGCAAUAGUUCUGGUCCUCAUUAGAAGCUGGUAGUUUGCACAUUUGAAAUAAUUGUUCAUAAUAAUUUCUGUCUGGAAGAGAAACCUGAGAAAUGUGUAGGGCUUACAGCAGCAUGGUCUCACAGCAACGCGCAGGUCACCAUGCUGGCUUUGGCUCUGCCCGCUCUGCACAGUUGGCCAAGCAGUAGUGUAGUGUGGCUGUAAUGUGCAUGUUAAUAUGACAGUGGUUUAUCGGUAGCAUUGCUUGGUCUCUGGAAAGUGGGGAACAAAUCUUUCUGGAGUUUAUGCAAUUGUAUCACAAUUGGUUUGGGAUAAUUAUUGAAUGCAAACAAAAGCAACAUUUUUUUUUCUCUGCACAUAGACUGUAGUUGAUGUUGCAUUAUUAUGGUUUUGUUUUCUGCUUAACAUUCCUCUGUAAGUGCAGCUCCUCUGAGGCUUGAAGUGAGACAAACAAAACUGAGCCAAAGUGACUUUCUUUUCUGUGUGUAAGGGGAUGGACGCUGAGUGAUAAUGACAUACUUUGCGUGUGAGCAGCAGGUGCGAGACCAAGCGUCUACUGUGGAUUAAAGUAAAUAUGUUUUUUUCUAUAUUUAACUGAUAUGUGUCAAAGAAACAAUGUUUAAAUG